GAACGCCGUAGCAAUACGGAGUGGCAGACGGGUGAGUAACGCGUGGGAACAUACCCUUCGGUUCGGAAUAACUCAGGGAAACUUGAGCUAAUACCGGAUACGUCCGAGGUUUUAAUCGACCUUGGAGAAAGAUUUAUCGCCGGAGGAUUGGCCCGCGUCUGAUUAGCUUGUUGGUGAGGUAAUGGCCCACCAAGGCGACGAUCAGUAGCUGGUCUGAGAGGAUGAUCAGCCACAUUGGGACUGAGACACGGCCCAAACUCCUACGGGAGGCAGCAGUGGGGAAUAUUGGACAAUGGGCGAAAGCCUGAUCCAGCCAUGCCGCGUGAGUGAUGAAGGCCUUAGGGUUGUAAAGCUCUUUUACCCGGGAAGAUAAUGACGGUACCGGGAGAAUAAGCCCCGGCUAACUUCGUGCCAGCAGCCGCGGUAAUACGAAGGGGGCUAGCGUUGUUCGGAAUUACUGGGCGUAAAGCGCACGUAGGCGGAUCUUUAAGUCAGGGGUGAAAUCCCGAGGCUCAACCUCGGAACUGCCUUUGAUACUGGGGAUAUCGAGUCCGGGAGAGGUGAGUGGAACUGCGAGUGUAGAGGCGAAAUUCGUAGAUAUUCGCAAGAACACCAGUGGCGAAGGCGGCUCACUGGCCCGGUACUGACGCUGAGGUGCGAAAGCGUGGGGA
RNAcentral lists this ribosomal RNA (671 nucleotides) under uncultured forest soil bacterium. Its description in RNAcentral is "bacterial SSU rRNA". It matches the Rfam family "Bacterial small subunit ribosomal RNA", at positions 64 to 767 of the family's 1533-position model. The record is from RNAcentral.